GACGAACGCUGGCGGCGUGCUUAACACAUGCAAGUCGAACGGAAAGGCCCUGCUUUUGUGGGGUGCUCGAGUGGCGAACGGGUGAGUAACACGUGAGUAACCUGCCCUUGACUUUGGGAUAACUUCAGGAAACUGGGGCUAAUACCGGAUAGGAGCUCCUGCUGCAUGGUGGGGGUUGGAAAGUUUCGGCGGUUGGGGAUGGACUCGCGGCUUAUCAGCUUGUUGGUGGGGUAGUGGCUUACCAAGGCUUUGACGGGUAGCCGGCCUGAGAGGGUGACCGGCCACAUUGGGACUGAGAUACGGCCCAGACUCCUACGGGAGGCAGCAGUGGGGAAUAUUGCACAAUGGGCGGAAGCCUGAUGCAGCAACGCCGCGUGCGGGAUGACGGCCUUUGGGUUGUAAACCGCUUUCGCCUGUGACGAAGCGUGAGUGACGGUAGUGGGUAAAGAAGCACCGGCUAACUACGUG
Molecule: ribosomal RNA, 468 nt
Filed under: uncultured bacterium
Lineage: Bacteria
Description: partial 16S ribosomal RNA
Rfam family: Bacterial small subunit ribosomal RNA
Source: RNAcentral